RNAcentral lists this transfer RNA (87 nucleotides) under Clostridiales bacterium. RNAcentral describes it as "tRNA-Leu". It matches the Rfam family "tRNA". Rfam says of the family: Transfer RNA (tRNA) molecules are approximately 80 nucleotides in length. Their secondary structure includes four short double-helical elements and three loops (D, anti-codon, and T loops). Further hydrogen bonds mediate the characteristic L-shaped molecular structure. tRNAs have two regions of fundamental functional importance: the anti-codon, which is responsible for specific mRNA codon recognition, and the 3' end, to which the tRNAs corresponding amino acid is attached (by aminoacyl-tRNA synthetases). tRNAs cope with the degeneracy of the genetic code in two manners: having more than one tRNA (with a specific anti-codon) for a particular amino acid; and 'wobble' base-pairing, i.e. permitting non-standard base-pairing at the 3rd anti-codon position. The record is from RNAcentral. Lineage: Bacteria; Bacillati; Bacillota; Clostridia; Eubacteriales. RNAcentral also lists the same sequence under 1 other name.
GCCGGAAUGGCGGAAUCGGCAGACGCACGGGACUUAAAAUCCCGGGUUGGCAACAGCGUGCGGGUUCAAGUCCCGCUUCCGGCACCA